Long non-coding RNA from Dicentrarchus labrax (European seabass), 2081 nucleotides. RefSeq lists it as uncharacterized. The transcript has 3 exons. The record is from RefSeq and is a predicted model, not a curated record. NCBI's taxonomy places the organism in Eukaryota, Metazoa, Chordata, Actinopteri, Moronidae.
UUUUUUUUAAGCAAAGCGAGGAGUUUUCCAGUUUUGGAGGAUCAGUCAGUCAGGAAAGAAUUCUUCUGGACAGGAUUGUUAAGACUAAAGAUGUCGUUAAAGAGACGACUGCUGUCCAUGUUGUUGUGCUGUGUUUACUGCAUGGCCUCGCUCUUCUGCCUCCACCCAAACCGCAACAACUGCUUCUCCAUCGGAGCUCGGAAUCUGGUGUCAGUCGUCCAGCAGCUUUACCAGCGUGUCAUUCGACUGCUGCGCACCACUCUCUGAUCCACAGCGCUUCCAGUGUUUAAACCAAUCACUCCGGACCUGUAUUGCCACUGUGGCAGAUGUGGCUGUUUUCGAACAUGCCCUCCGGUAGUGCAUCGCCAACUAAAAAGAAGAAAAAGAAGAAAGAGGAAUGGUGUCACUCCACUCUUGGACUGUGAAGUUUCCACCAAUUGCCCUGCUGUGUUCACCACUGCAUUACUCUGGCUGUAGAUGAGGAGGCGACAAGCAUGUGAAAACAUUUUUUUUUACUCAAGUAGAUUGUGGGUAUCUGCUGUGUGAGAUGUGAGUGAGGUGGAAAAUACAGUUUUGUUUUAAAUGCAUUUUGAGGGUUCAGUGCAAUCGUGAAGGCUCAAGAAACAGGCUCGUAACCAUGAGGUUGCUGGUUGAAAUUCAUGGACACGAUGGCAGUAUUGUUGUAAUAUAUGAAGGUGCAAAAUUCAAAAUCUUCCCUUCAUUAAUAACCGUCACAAAGCUGACCCUGAGCAAGGCAGAAAGCUUUCAUUGUGGCUGCGCUGUAGAGGGAAGCAGCACCUGUGGUCUGAGUGUGAAAGCUGUUCAGACAGAAGCUUGUAACAGACAUAUUAGGGUACUCUCGUACCCAGUCUGACACAGUAUAUUGGACCCAGCUUGAGUAGGAAGAGGACCUGUGAAGACCUCUACUUAAGUACACAUAUUCCACAUCAACACUUGCCUUGUGCCCUUGCAAGUAACACAGUACAAACAUGUGUUUUUAGCUCCCUGUGGAGCUGAAAGAGCUCUACGAGGGUAAUACAGCAAGAGACACGUCAAAUUCCACCACAGGGAAAGAGAAACCACACACAUCAGAUGAGACACAUUUGCCUUGUUGUUGCUAUAAUGCCCUUAACUAUGUGAGAGAAACUACAGCUUAUGGUUACAUAAUAAGAAUCUAAGGUGUCAUAUUUCUGAAGGCAACUGUGCUAAUGUAUCUUUGCAUAACUAGAAACAUCCUCAAUUGUUUUUGUAUGUAGGGCUUAAAAAGUAUUUUAGGCUAAAAUGCUACAUAUAGGACAUAAACAGGCUGCAGCUGAAAUGUUGAUUUAUGACAUUGCAGGUAAUAUAUAAUAACAGUACACUGAAGGGGGAGAUGGGGAGACUUCAAACAUCUAGUAGCAGAGAGGCCAUAGCUUAUGUUAUUGAGACAGUGCUCUAUAUAGAAUCAGUUUUACUGCUAUGUAGUUGCCUGGGUGACAAGUCCUCACAUGACACAUGUCACUGCAUAUGCGCUGAUCGGGGAGCUCAACAGCAGGAUGAAGACACGUCUGCAGCACUUUAAUUGUUGGUUGUCCCAAAUAAUAAUAAUUUAAAAAAAAAAAAAAAACAUAUUUUCUCACUUACUUACAGUGGUAGCAUGCAGAUACUGUUGUUUUGGUCAAUGCGGGUUUUCAUUUUGUGAGAUUUGUGUCUCUAUGCCAGUGCAAUAGAGGUGAAUGGAAUUUAGUUUGUGGUGCUAACAGCAAUAAAAAAAACUACAUAGAAGAAUUCCACAGCAAAAUGUAUUUCCAAUAUCCUUGUUACUCCGGAUAAUUCACGGAACACAAUGGUUUUCAUAGGGACUAUUAUUUAGUAGAAAAUAGUUUCAUUGAAAAUGAUUCACACAGAACUCACAGUGAGAAUGCUUGUCAGGAAAACCUAAACAUGGGUCAUGUUUAGUAAUUGAACAAGAAAUGGUGAAGUUUUGUUUUUCUGGGGACAGAUCAAGAUGGAAGGAUGGUGCAAUAAAAAUCAACACGUUUAGUCUUAUCAGGCUAAGAGCCGCUGGUCUGAAUUUGAAUUGAAUUGUGUUUGUAAAAUGU